This 434-nucleotide ribosomal RNA is filed under the name uncultured bacterium. RNAcentral describes it as "partial 16S ribosomal RNA". It matches the Rfam family "Bacterial small subunit ribosomal RNA", at positions 29 to 507 of the family's 1533-position model. The record is from RNAcentral.
AGCGAACGCUGGCGGCAGGCCUAACACAUGCAAGUCGAACGAACCUUUCGGGGUUAGUGGCGGACGGGUGAGUAACACGUGGGAACGUGCCUUUAGGUUCGGAAUAACUCAGGGAAACUUGUGCUAAUACCGAAUGUGCCCUUCGGGGGAAAGAUUAAUCGCCGUUAGAGCGGCCCGCGUCUGAUUAGCUAGUUGGUUGAGGUAAUGGCUCACCAAGGCGACGAUCAGUAGCUGGUCUGAGAGGAUGAUCAGCCACAUUGGGACUGAGACACGGCCCAAACUCCUACGGGAGGCAGCAGUGGGGAAUCUUGCGCAAUGGGCGAAAGCCUGACGCAGCCAUGCCGGGUGAAUGAUGAAGGUCUUAGGAUUGUAAAAUUCUUUCACCGGGGACGAUAAUGACGGUACCCGGAGAAGAAGCCCCGGCUAACUUCGUG